This 71-nucleotide transfer RNA is filed under the name Loxodonta africana (African savanna elephant). It matches the Rfam family "tRNA". From Rfam's summary of the family: Transfer RNA (tRNA) molecules are approximately 80 nucleotides in length. Their secondary structure includes four short double-helical elements and three loops (D, anti-codon, and T loops). The record is from Rfam by way of RNAcentral. Lineage: Eukaryota; Metazoa; Chordata; Mammalia; Proboscidea; Elephantidae.
GUAGUGGAGUUUCAGUGGUAGAAUUCUUGCCUUCAAUGCAGGAGACCUGAGUUCAAUUCCCAAUCAAUACA